This 304-nucleotide ribosomal RNA is filed under the name uncultured Pseudomonas sp. Its description in RNAcentral is "bacterial SSU rRNA". It matches the Rfam family "Bacterial small subunit ribosomal RNA", at positions 1082 to 1382 of the family's 1533-position model. Lineage: Bacteria; Pseudomonadati; Pseudomonadota; Gammaproteobacteria; Pseudomonadales; Pseudomonadaceae. The record is from RNAcentral.
AAGUCCCGUAACGAGCGCAACCCUUGUCCUUAGUUACCAGCACGUUAUGGUGGGCACUCUAAGGAGGACUGCCGGUGGACAAACCGGAGGAAGGUGGGGAGUGACGUCAAGUCAUCAUGGCCCUUACGGCCUGGGCUACACACGUGCUACAAUGGUCGGUACAAAGGGUUGCCAAGCCGCGAGGUGGAGCUAAUCCCAUAAAACCGAUCGUAGUCCGGAUCGCAGUCUGCAACUCGACUGCGUGAAGUCGGAAUCGCUAGUAAUCGUGAAUCAGAAUGUCACGGUGAAUACGUUCCCGGGCCUU